UACAGGCUUAACACAUGCAAGUCGAGGGGCAGCGCGGGGCGGCAACGUCCUGGCGGCGACCGGCGGAAGGGUGCGUAACGCGUGAGCGACAUGCCCGUUGUCCGGGGACAACCGGUGGAAACGCCGACUAAUCCCCGAUGGGACGGAGGCCCUCAUGGGUCUCUGUUGAAAGUUACGGCGGCGACGGAUUGGCUCGCGUCCGAUUAGCUAGUUGGCGGGGUAACGGCCCACCAAGGCUACGAUCGGUAGGGGUUCUGAGAGGAAGGUCCCCACAUUGGAACUGAGACACGGUCCAAACUCC
This 301-nucleotide ribosomal RNA is filed under the name uncultured bacterium. RNAcentral describes it as "bacterial SSU rRNA". It matches the Rfam family "Bacterial small subunit ribosomal RNA", at positions 43 to 339 of the family's 1533-position model. The record is from RNAcentral.